UGCGGGGUGGAGCAGUGGCAGCUCGUUGGGCUCAUAACCCAAAGGUCGGAGGUUCGAAUCCUCCCUCCGCUA
This 72-nucleotide transfer RNA is filed under the name Bacteroidota bacterium. RNAcentral's name for it is "tRNA-Met". It matches the Rfam family "tRNA". From Rfam's summary of the family: Transfer RNA (tRNA) molecules are approximately 80 nucleotides in length. RNAcentral also lists the same sequence under 4 other names. The record is from RNAcentral. Lineage: Bacteria; Pseudomonadati; Bacteroidota.